Molecule: transfer RNA, 74 nt
Filed under: Minisyncoccota bacterium
Lineage: Bacteria; Bacillati; Minisyncoccota
Description: tRNA-Cys
Rfam family: tRNA
About the family: Transfer RNA (tRNA) molecules are approximately 80 nucleotides in length. Their secondary structure includes four short double-helical elements and three loops (D, anti-codon, and T loops). Further hydrogen bonds mediate the characteristic L-shaped molecular structure. tRNAs have two regions of fundamental functional importance: the anti-codon, which is responsible for specific mRNA codon recognition, and the 3' end, to which the tRNAs corresponding amino acid is attached (by aminoacyl-tRNA synthetases). tRNAs cope with the degeneracy of the genetic code in two manners: having more than one tRNA (with a specific anti-codon) for a particular amino acid; and 'wobble' base-pairing, i.e. permitting non-standard base-pairing at the 3rd anti-codon position.
Source: RNAcentral
GUGACGGUGACCGAGUGGUGAGGUACUGGUCUGCAAAACCAGUUAGGUCGGUUCGAUUCCGACCCGUCACUCCA